CGGAACGAUUCCUUCCAGGAAGAAAGUAUUUAUUAUUUUUAAAAGGUUUACAAUGAAGGAAUAGGGUACGCCAUCUUCCCCAGGAGUUGAGUCUUUUAGGCCACUUAGAGCACAUUGGAGCUCUGAGAAAGAGAAGGGGGCAUCCAUGUCAUCAAAAGUGGAUGCUGGCGACGAAGUCAGAAAACUGUCCACUCCUGGGACAAAUGGAGGGGCAAGUUUGUCAGCAAAAUCAUUAAGCCAUACACUGGGGUUAUUG
RNAcentral lists this unclassified non-coding RNA (256 nucleotides) under Melitaea cinxia (Glanville fritillary). RNAcentral's name for it is "misc RNA ENSMCXG00005017023.1". The record is from RNAcentral. Lineage: Eukaryota; Metazoa; Arthropoda; Insecta; Lepidoptera; Nymphalidae.